Molecule: ribosomal RNA, 199 nt
Filed under: uncultured bacterium
Lineage: Bacteria
Description: partial 16S ribosomal RNA
Rfam family: Bacterial small subunit ribosomal RNA
Source: RNAcentral
UCGGAUCGGAGUCUGNAACCCGACUCCGUGAAGCUGGAUUCGCUAGUAAUCGCGCAUCGGCCAUGGCGCGGUGAAUACGUUCCCGGGCCUUGUACACACCGCCCGUCAAGCCAUGGAAGCCGGGGGUGCCUGAAGUGUGCAGCCGCAAGGAGCGCCCUAAGGUAAAACCGGUGACUGGGCUAAGUCGUAACAAGGUAGC